UCUAAGGCUACGGUGCGGUGCUGCCGUGUAUAUUAUGGCCAGUUUGCAAGAUGUGAGGGAAACUUGUGCUUUUAAAAUACUACAAGGGUGCUGGAGACCUGACUAGGUUGUUGAGGGCACUAGUUGCUCUUGCAAAGGACCUGGUUCAAGUCCCAGUACCCACAUUGUGGCUCCCCAUCUGUAACUGCAGCUCCAGAGAAUCCAUGCCCUGCUCUGACCCCCCACCCAGCGCCGACAUGGUGCACAAACAUAAAAACUUGCAGACAAAACUUUGACACUAAAAAGACUUGCACAGUUGGACACAUCAAGACAGAGACAGAAGGAUCUUGAUUCGGUAAACCAGUCACAUCGGAGUCCUGGAAAUAACAAGGGUUGAGCACAGAAACCGGCUUUCCCAGACUGCGUUUGUCUGUCUUCUGUAGUGGGCGCCUGUAGUCUCCUCUACAACGUUAACACUAGGCGGCGCUCUGAACCCAGCUGCCCAGUCAUGGAAACCCUGGCUAAGAACAAGCAAGACACCUGUAAGGCCUCCCCACUUCCACAGAUGCUUACCUGUGUGAAGACUGGACUGCAGAGGCCUUAGCAGGCCUUGGAUCCACUCCUACACUCUCCACAGACUCUGCCUUCCAAGUUGCCUCCUGCCAACUACAAACCUGAACUCUUGGAGCCUCUGAUGCUGGCUGGGUUUGCCCCCAGGAGAUGGGAGACAGAAGGAUUGGGUGCAGAGAAAAGAGAGAAUUCCCUCCAGGCCUCCCUUCCUGUUCAGCCACAGCCAAGGUCAUCUCGGGCAGGCCACAGCUGUCACGUAGCACCACUGUGUCUUCCUAUGGAGAGCACUAACCCCCCCCUCCGCUGCUAGGGUCCUGGAGUGCCACCCUCCUUGAGGAGGCUCCCUAACACCGCCCACACAUCUAUACGCCAGCUCUCAUUAUCAAACUGUCCUCAUUUUCCCUAUUUGAGCAUGUCAUCUGAUUCCUUUUUUAAAAGUUUUUUGAAAUAAACUUUCAAGAUUUA
Peromyscus leucopus (white-footed mouse) is the source of this 1014-nucleotide long non-coding RNA. RefSeq lists it as uncharacterized. The record is from RefSeq and is a predicted model, not a curated record. The transcript is spliced from 3 exons. Lineage: Eukaryota; Metazoa; Chordata; Mammalia; Rodentia; Cricetidae.